RNAcentral lists this long non-coding RNA (1352 nucleotides) under Capra hircus (goat). RNAcentral's name for it is "lncRNA (ENSCHIG00010025857.1)". The record is from RNAcentral. Lineage: Eukaryota; Metazoa; Chordata; Mammalia; Artiodactyla; Bovidae.
CCUGCAGGGGUAGCGCCACGGCCACCCUGCCCGCAGCACAGGGAGCUGGCCUCUGCUGGGGCCGCCUGCCCACGGAGCUGCGCCUGGAACCCAGCCCGCCGUGGCCCCCGAGGACGGGGCGCCUUCCCAGGCGCAGGGUGGACCCCCUAGGAAGGGGCGGACUGACCGAGCCGACGACAGACCUCGGGGGAAGGGCCCCAGCCACGACCGCGGCCGCCGCCUCGGCUUCUGACGUCCCUGUUUCCGACGGCAGGACUGUGCGUCCGUGGAGCGGCGUCCACCAGAAGCGGCCAAGGCGCCGGCUGCCGGCUGGGGACGGGGGUGGGGAUAGUUGGUCUUUCACACAUUUUUUUUAAGCAGGGAUUAAUCCUACGGCCAUUUUUUUGUGGUACUUUGGCCUCUGAUCUUUACCAGGAAUCACUGUGUUUACAUGAAACGACAAUUUGAUACUGUAUUUGAUAGAAAACUAUUUUUUGUUACCGGGGUUUACGUGGCACGGGGUGGCUUGGGGGGCAUACUCUUGGGGAACUCGGCAGCACUCUCUGAGCCCACCCGGCCCCAGGUGCAGGGGAGGGGUCCCCCGGGAGAAUCAGGCAGCGUUGCUACAGACCGGCAGUGAAAAUCCAAGGAAAUUCCUUCAUCUGUGUAGGUUAAUUUUCAAAAGAACAUGUAAACUAUAAUUUAAGAGGUUAACCUUUUCUACAGAAAAAUGAGGGGACUCCCGACUUUUUUAACGCUCUCCACUGAUUUGGGUAUUUUUACUGGUUUCACACGUGAAGAUGCAGUUUCCGCAGCUGUCCCCGGGUCCCACGUGGAAGUGCUGUGAGCGCAGGAGCAGAAUUUAUCUUAUUCUACUCAAGGCGAAACUGGAAAGAAAACUCUUCAGCUUCACUGUUUUCUUGUGUGUUUCAGAAACAAGUCCUGUUGUCUGGAAGUGGUUCUCUGUGUCUGGUCGGGGCAGACGUUUCUGUACGUGUGUGUAUAUGUGUUGAUGUGUGUGCGCACGCGCCCAGUGCGGGCGGUGUGUCUAUAGCCUCCAAGCUGCUGGCAGUGGGUCACUGUACGGCCCCCGAGCACCAGGCCGCUGCAGCCCCGCCGCGGGCCCCGGUCAGCGAGCAGGUCAGGCCUCUCUGAACCGCGUGGUAGGCGGCGGGCGAGCUCUGCGGCUCUUCGCUGAAGUGUGUAAGUUAUUUGGAAAACGAUGAGUCACCUCAUUUACUUAAUAUAUUGACUGUUCAGACACCGUUCCUGCCGUCUCAGCCUGGGAUUGGCCCCGUUUCUGUGAUCUCUUCCUCAUAAAGGCACUUUAAAACUUCGUGUUUCAGCCACUGUUUUUUUUUUUUUUCCCCUAA